Lepisosteus oculatus (spotted gar) is the source of this 119-nucleotide ribosomal RNA. The record is from Ensembl. Lineage: Eukaryota; Metazoa; Chordata; Actinopteri; Semionotiformes; Lepisosteidae.
ACCAGCAGCCAUAUCACUCUGCAGCUCACAACUGGCAACCCACUGAAGCUAAGCAGGUGUGAGCCUGGUCAGUACCUGGAUGGGAGACCUCCUGGGAAAAACUAAGGUUGCUGCAGGAA